RNAcentral lists this ribosomal RNA (492 nucleotides) under uncultured bacterium. Its description in RNAcentral is "partial 16S ribosomal RNA". It matches the Rfam family "Bacterial small subunit ribosomal RNA", at positions 29 to 507 of the family's 1533-position model. The record is from RNAcentral.
AGUGAACGCUGGCGGUAGGCCUAACACAUGCAAGUCGAACGGCAGCACAGUAAGAGCUUGCUCUUACGGGUGGCGAGUGGCGGACGGGUGAGGAAUACAUCGGAAUCUACUUUUUCGUGGGGGAUAACGUAGGGAAACUUACGCUAAUACCGCAUACGACCUACGGGUGAAAGCAGGGGAUCUUCGGACCUUGCGCGAUUGAAUGAGCCGAUGUCGGAUUAGCUAGUUGGCGGGGUAAAGGCCCACCAAGGCGACGAUCCGUAGCUGGUCUGAGAGGAUGAUCAGCCAACAUGGAACUGAGACACCGUCCAGACUCCUACGGGAGGCAACAGUGGGGAAUAUUGGACAAUGGGCGCAAGCCUGAUCCAGCCAUACCGCGUGGGUGAAGAAGGCCUUCGGGUUGUAAAGCCCUUUUGUUGGGAAAGAAAAGCAGCAGGUUAAUACCCCGCUGUUCUGACGGUACCCAAAGAAUAAGCACCGGCUAACUUCGUG